This 233-nucleotide ribosomal RNA is filed under the name uncultured bacterium. Its description in RNAcentral is "partial 16S ribosomal RNA". It matches the Rfam family "Bacterial small subunit ribosomal RNA", at positions 1268 to 1500 of the family's 1533-position model. The record is from RNAcentral.
CAAAACUCAAAAAAAUAAGUCUCAGUUCGGAUUGAAGGCUGAAAUUCGCCUUCAUGAAGCCGGAAUUGCUAGUAAUGGCAGGUCAGCAUACUGCCGUGAAUACGUUCCCGGGCCUUGUACACACCGCCCGUCACACCAUGAGAGUUGGGAAUACCCGAAGCCUGUGAGCUAACUUUUAGAGGCAGCAGUCGAAGGUAGAAUCAAUGAUUGGGGUGAAGUCGUAACAAGGUACC